Molecule: small RNA, 125 nt
Filed under: Marmota monax (woodchuck)
Lineage: Eukaryota; Metazoa; Chordata; Mammalia; Rodentia; Sciuridae
Source: RNAcentral
GCUGGGUGUGGUGGUGCAUGCCUCUAAUCCCAGCAGCUAGGGAGGCUGAGGCAGGAAGAUCUUCUGUUCAAAGCCAGUCUCUGCAAAAGUGAGGUGCUAAGUAACUCAGUGAGACCCUGUCUCUA